GCAGCCCAGCCCUGACCCUGCAGCUCUGGGAAAGGAGCCCAGCCCAGGAUUAACACGUGUCCCCAGUCCCUGCUCAGGACAGAACACAGACCACUCACCAUGGAGUUUUGUCUCAGCUGGGUUUUCCUUGUUACUGUUUUAACAGGUGUCCAGUGUGAUGUGCAGCUGGUGGAGUCUGGGGGAGGCUUGGUGAAGCCUGGGGGGUCUCUGAGACUCUCCUGUGCAGCCUCUGGAUUCACCUUCAGUAGCUACUACAUGAACUGGGUCCGCCAGGCUCCAGGGAAGGGGCUGGAGUGGGUCUCACAGAUUAGUAGUAAUGGUGGUAGCACAUACUACGCCAACUCUGUGAAGGGCCGAUUCACCAUCUCCAGAGACAACGCCAAGAACGAGCUCUACCUGCAAAUGAACAGCCUGAGAGCCGAAGACACGGCCGUCUAUUACUGUGCGAGAGACACAGUGAGGGGAAGUCAGUGUGAGCCCAGACACAAACCUCCCAGAGGGAGACAAGAAGGCUGCCCUGCAGGGGCUGCUCCCGACACCAGGGGGCGAUCAGGACACACUCAUUUCUUGGUUCAGUUCCAGAACCUAGGCAGAUACACAGUAACUCUUGGUUUCCUGGCAGCUGUGGUUUAA
Phyllostomus hastatus (greater spear-nosed bat) is the source of this 633-nucleotide non-coding RNA. NCBI's taxonomy places the organism in Eukaryota, Metazoa, Chordata, Mammalia, Chiroptera, Phyllostomidae. The record is from the annotation of a RefSeq genome assembly.